This 195-nucleotide ribosomal RNA is filed under the name uncultured Geobacter sp. Its description in RNAcentral is "partial 16S ribosomal RNA". It matches the Rfam family "Bacterial small subunit ribosomal RNA", at positions 338 to 524 of the family's 1533-position model. The record is from RNAcentral. Lineage: Bacteria; Pseudomonadati; Thermodesulfobacteriota; Desulfuromonadia; Geobacterales; Geobacteraceae.
CCUACGGGAGGCAGCAGUGGGGAAUUUUGCGCAAUGGGGGAAACCCUGACGCAGCAACGCCGCGUGAGUGAUGAAGGCCUUCGGGUCGUAAAGGUCGAUCAGUAUGGAAGAAGUGUCAUGGUUCUCAUACCACCUUAACUUGACGGUACCUACAAAGGAAGCACCGGCUAACUCCGUGCCAGCAGCCGCGGUAAU